UCCCUGGUGGCUCAGUUGGUAAGGCAUCUGCCUGCCAUGCAGGAGGCCUGGGUUCGAUCCCCAGGUCGGGAA
Molecule: transfer RNA, 72 nt
Filed under: Ovis aries (sheep)
Lineage: Eukaryota; Metazoa; Chordata; Mammalia; Artiodactyla; Bovidae
Rfam family: tRNA
About the family: Transfer RNA (tRNA) molecules are approximately 80 nucleotides in length.
Source: Rfam by way of RNAcentral